Molecule: long non-coding RNA, 1156 nt
Filed under: Mus musculus (house mouse)
Lineage: Eukaryota; Metazoa; Chordata; Mammalia; Rodentia; Muridae
Description: iroquois homeobox 3, opposite strand
Source: RNAcentral
CUUCCUCUUCGUCCUCCUCCUCCCGCUCGCUCCCAUAAGCAUUGCCCUCCUCGUCCGUGCGACUACGGGGAGCCCACGUCAUCUUGUUCUCCUUCUUGAGGCGCCGGCGCGCGUUGGCGAACCAGAAGGGAAAGAAAAACAAAACGCAACACCACACAACAACACCACACAAGAGCCUCUGAGAUGCUCCUUCCUUCCUUACUGCAUUAACCAGCUAUCGACCUGGUUGUGUCCGAUUGCGAUGAUGGGCUGAGAGAAAGAACACCGGAAGAGCCAGGCUGUUCUCAGGAAGGACUCACGCCGGCCACGGGGCCGCCCCUGGCCCAGAGGGUGAACCUCUAGACCCAGGCACAGUGCACAAAGCGCUCGCCGCGGACGCUCUGUGGUCUGGGAUCAGGGCGCCAGGAGCAUACAGAAAAGGUGUACGCCGAGGACACGUGGCGCACGAAGCUGUGCGCGCUGGAGGACAACUACAAGGGGUGCCCUAUGUGUAGCCAGAGGCCCACCAGCUUCGGGGUCGGACACUCCGAACCACCAGCCCCCAUCUCUUCCCUCCCCUGGUCCAGCUCCCCGAUGUGCCCGUGCCCCCCGUCGUUGGGAGCUUCUGCAGCUGUGUCUCCCAGCUCGGACAGAGUUCACUCCUUUCCUCCCAAGGCUCAGAGUCCCCCAGAGGCGGUGCGGGCUGGCUAUCCUUCAGCUUCUUGCAGAGGCUGCUGCGUACGCUCCCCCCCCCCCCAGCUGGGGUUACAGGUUAAUGAAACGCUCGUUUUCCUCAGUCAUUUGUUUUGUUUUCCUGCAAAGUUCUGAUAAGUAGCUAACCAACGAAGCUUGUAAUUACAAUCUUACAGAAACCGGGCCGAUCUGUAUAUAAAUCUCACCAUCCAAUUACAAGAUGUAAUAAUUUUGCACUCAAGCUGGUAAUGAGGUCUAAUACUCGCGCAUGCGAUAAUCCCCUCUGGAUGCUGGCUUGAUCAGAUGUUGGCUUUGUAAUUAGACGGGCAGAAAAUCAUUAUUUCAUGUUCAAAUAGAAAAUGAGGUUGGUGGGAAGUUAAUUUCUCUCCGCUCUGUGAAGCGUAGACAAGAAUUUAAUGAUUUAAUUACAGUUGUAAGCCCUUUCCAUGAGACUUAAAUUGAGCUGAGAAUAUUUUUUUCCUUU